ACGGGUGAGUAAUGCCUAGGAAAUUGCCUUGAUGUGGGGGAUAACCAUUGGAAACGAUGGCUAAUACCGCAUAAUGCCUACGGGCCAAAGAGGGGGACCUUCGGGCCUCUCGCGUCAAGAUAUGCCUAGGUGGGAUUAGCUAGUUGGUGAGGUAAUGGCUCACCAAGGCGACGAUCCCUAGCUGGUCUGAGAGGAUGAUCAGCCACACUGGAACUGAGACACGGUCCAGACUCCUACGGGAGGCAGCAGUGGGGAAUAUUGCACAAUGGGCGAAAGCCUGAUGCAGCCAUGCCGCGUGUAUGAAGAAGGCCUUCGGGUUGUAAAGUACUUUCAGUUGUGAGGAAGGGGGNANAGUUAAUA
This 360-nucleotide ribosomal RNA is filed under the name Vibrio sp. KR08-03. RNAcentral describes it as "bacterial SSU rRNA". It matches the Rfam family "Bacterial small subunit ribosomal RNA", at positions 102 to 465 of the family's 1533-position model. The record is from RNAcentral. Lineage: Bacteria; Pseudomonadati; Pseudomonadota; Gammaproteobacteria; Vibrionales; Vibrionaceae.